RNAcentral lists this ribosomal RNA (503 nucleotides) under uncultured bacterium. RNAcentral describes it as "partial 16S ribosomal RNA". It matches the Rfam family "Bacterial small subunit ribosomal RNA", at positions 30 to 523 of the family's 1533-position model. The record is from RNAcentral.
AUUGAACGCUGGCGGCAGGCUUAACACAUGCAAGUCGAGCGGGGUGAUGAUGCUUGCACUAUCACUUAGCGGCGGACGGGUGAGUAAUGCUUAGGAAUCUGCCUAUUAGUGGGGGACAACAUCUCGAAAGGGAUGCUAAUACCGCAUACGUCCUACGGGAGAAAGCAGGGGAUCACUUGUGACGCUGCGCUAAUAGAGGAGCCUAAGUCGGAUUAGCUAGUUGGUGGGGUAAAGGCCUACCAAGGCGACGAUCUGUAGCGGGUCUGAGAGGAUGAUCCGCCACACUGGGACUGAGACACGGCCCAGACUCCUACGGGAGGCAGCAGUGGGGAAUAUUGGACAAUGGGGGGAACCCUGAUCCAGCCAUGCCGCGUGUGUGAAGAAGGCCUUAUGGUUGUAAAGCACUUUAAGCGAGGAGGAGGCUCUUUUGGUUAAUACCCAAGAUGAGUGGACGUUACUCGCAGAAUAAGCACCGGCUAACUCUGUGCCAGCCGCCGCCGUAA